UGGAAGCUCAGACGGUCGGAGGAGUUCAGAAAGACGCCACAUAAGGUCGGAAGCCGGAAGAGCCCUGGGAGGGUCGACCUUUUACGAACUUCGGCUGGGGUUAUUUUAUACCCAACACCUCCACGAUCCCCUUGACUCCAGCUUCUCCGACGUCGGUAAAAUUCUGUACCAACAAAAUUGGUGCUAGAGGGAGGGCCCUAUAUCUUCGUAGGAUCCUUGUUCUUAAAGGAGUACUCAACGGGACUGUCUUCGAUCAUCUUCUUUGACAUUUUCUUCUUCUUCUCCUGUC
This 289-nucleotide long non-coding RNA is filed under the name Elaeis guineensis (African oil palm). RNAcentral describes it as "long non-coding RNA (EGUI_LNC074570)". Lineage: Eukaryota; Viridiplantae; Streptophyta; Magnoliopsida; Arecales; Arecaceae. The record is from RNAcentral.